This 253-nucleotide ribosomal RNA is filed under the name uncultured bacterium. Its description in RNAcentral is "partial 16S ribosomal RNA". It matches the Rfam family "Bacterial small subunit ribosomal RNA", at positions 524 to 776 of the family's 1533-position model. The record is from RNAcentral.
GACAGAGGUGCCAAGCGUUAGGCGGAAUUAUUGGGCUUAAAGCGCGUGUAGGCGGGAUGGCAAGUACCUUGUGAAAGCCCCGGACUCAAUCCGGGAACUGCUCGGUAUACUGCCGUUCUCGAGGCAGGUAGGGGUCACUGGAACCUUAGGUGGAGCGGUGAAAUGCGUAGAUAUCUAAGGGAACGCCUGUGGCGAAAGCGGGUGACUGGGCCUGUCCUGACGCUGAGACGCGAAAGCGUAGGGAGCAAACGGG